Non-coding RNA from Phrynosoma platyrhinos (Desert horned lizard), 72 nucleotides. NCBI's taxonomy places the organism in Eukaryota, Metazoa, Chordata, Lepidosauria, Squamata, Phrynosomatidae. The record is from the annotation of a GenBank genome assembly.
GCCAGUGUUGCUUAGUGGUUUGAGUGAUGGAGUACAACCCUAGAGACCAAGGUUCAAUUCCUCGCGUGGCCA